AGUGAACGCUGGCGGCAGGCCUAACACAUGCAAGUCGAACGGCAGCACAAGAGAGCUUGCUCUCUGGGUGGCGAGUGGCGGACGGGUGAGGAAUGCAUCGGAAUCUGCCCAUUUGUGGGGGAUAACCUCGGGAAACCGGGACUAAUACCGCAUACGACCUACGGGUGAAAGCAGGGGAUCUUCGGACCUUGCGCAGAUGGAUGAGCCGAUGCCGGAUUAGCUAGUUGGAGGGGUAAAGGCCCACCAAGGCGACGAUCCGUAGCUGGUCUGAGAGGAUGAUCAGCCACACUGGGACUGAGACACGGCCCAGACUCAUACGGGAGGCAGCAGUGGGGAAUAUUGGACAAUGGGCGCAAGCAUGAUCCAGCAAUGCCGCGUGUGUGAAGAAGGCCUUCGGGUUGUAAAGCACUUUUGUUGGGAAAGAAAAGCAGCCGGUUAAUACCCGGUUGUCAUGACGGUACCCAAAGAAUAAGCACCGGCUAACUUCGUG
RNAcentral lists this ribosomal RNA (490 nucleotides) under uncultured bacterium. Its description in RNAcentral is "partial 16S ribosomal RNA". It matches the Rfam family "Bacterial small subunit ribosomal RNA", at positions 29 to 507 of the family's 1533-position model. The record is from RNAcentral.